This 134-nucleotide small nucleolar RNA is filed under the name Dasypus novemcinctus (nine-banded armadillo). RNAcentral describes it as "Small nucleolar RNA SNORA70 (ENSDNOG00000028489.1)". It matches the Rfam family "Small nucleolar RNA SNORA70". Rfam says of the family: snoRNA U70 seems to be exclusive to mammals and is a member of the H/ACA class of snoRNA which contain H (ANANNA) and ACA box motifs. H/ACA box snoRNAs are involved in the conversion of uridines to pseudouridines (5-ribosyluracil) a constituent of structural RNAs (transfer, ribosomal, small nuclear, and small nucleolar). The record is from RNAcentral. Lineage: Eukaryota; Metazoa; Chordata; Mammalia; Cingulata; Dasypodidae.
UUGCAGCCAAUUAAGCCAACCAUCUCCCUUUCCCCUUGGGGGCCCAGUGCACAGUGGCUGCAGACAGCAGCCUCCUUGUAGUGUACAUGGUCUUUUGCUUAAAUGGGUUGCCCUAAGGGACCUUGGAGACAGCC